GAUGAAGAACGCAGCGAAAUGCGAUAAGUAGUGUGAAUUGCAGAAUUCAGUGAAUCAUCGAAUCUUUGAACGCACAUUGCGCCCCUUGGUAUCCCGAGGGGCAUGCCUGUUCGAGCGUCAUUUCACCACUCAAGCCUGGCUUGGUGUUGGGCGACGUCCCCUUUGGGGACGCGCCUCGAAACGCUCGGCGGCGUGGCACCGGCUUUAAGCGUAGCAGAAUCUUUCGCUUUGGAAGUCGGGGCCCCGUCUGCCGGAAGACCUACUCGCAAGGUUGACCUCGGAUCAGGCAGGGAUACCAGCUGAACUUAAGCAUAUCAAUAAGCGGAGGA
Molecule: unclassified non-coding RNA, 329 nt
Filed under: soil metagenome
Description: partial contains 5.8S ribosomal RNA, internal transcribed spacer 2, and large subunit ribosomal RNA
Rfam family: 5.8S ribosomal RNA (bases 1-120)
Source: RNAcentral